This 417-nucleotide ribosomal RNA is filed under the name uncultured bacterium. Its description in RNAcentral is "bacterial SSU rRNA". It matches the Rfam family "Bacterial small subunit ribosomal RNA", at positions 958 to 1375 of the family's 1533-position model. The record is from RNAcentral.
AACGCGAAGAACCUUACCUGGCCUUGACAUCCAGAGAACUUAGCAGAGAUGCUUUGGUGCCUUCGGGAACUCUGAGACAGGUGCUGCAUGGCUGUCGUCAGCUCGUGUUGUGAAAUGUUGGGUUAAGUCCCGCAACGAGCGCAACCCUUAUCCUUUGUUGCCAGCGGCUCGGCCGGGAACUCAAAGGAGACUGCCGGUGAUAAACCGGAGGAAGGUGGGGAUGACGUCAAGUCAUCAUGGCCCUUACGGCCAGGGCUACACACGUGCUACAAUGGCGCAUACGAAGAGAAGCGACCUCGCGAGAGCAAGCGGACCUCAUAAAGUGCGUCGUAGUCCGGAUUGGAGUCUGCAACUCGACUCCAUGAAGUCGGAAUCGCUAGUAAUCGUAGAUCAGAAUGCUACGGUGAAUACGUUCCC